RNAcentral lists this ribosomal RNA (436 nucleotides) under uncultured Planctomycetota bacterium. RNAcentral describes it as "bacterial SSU rRNA". It matches the Rfam family "Bacterial small subunit ribosomal RNA", at positions 11 to 450 of the family's 1533-position model. The record is from RNAcentral. Lineage: Bacteria; Pseudomonadati; Planctomycetota.
GUUUGAUCCUGGCUCAGAAUGAACGUUGGCGGCGUGGAUUAGGCAUGCAAGUCGAACGGGCCUGGUAGCAAUAUCAGGUCAGUGGCGUAAGGGUGAGUAAGGCGACGGCAACCAACCCCAUGGUUGGGCAUAGCCGCGGGAAACUGCGGGUAAUUCCCAGCGAUGUUCGUACCGGGCAUCCGGUGUGAACCAAAGUUCUGGCGCCGUGGGACGGGCCGUCGUGGUAUUAGGUAGUUGGCGGGGUAAUGGCCCACCAAGCCUCUGAUGCCUACCGGGCGUGCGAGCGUGGCCCGGCACACUGGGACUGAGACACUGCCCAGACUCCUACGGGAGGCUGCAGUCGAGAAUCUUCGGCAAUGGGCGCAAGCCUGACCGAGCGACGCCGCGUGGAGGAUGAAGGCCUUCGGGUUGUAAACUCCUGUCGAGGGGGAGGAAG